This 1311-nucleotide long non-coding RNA is filed under the name Marmota monax (woodchuck). The record is from RNAcentral. Lineage: Eukaryota; Metazoa; Chordata; Mammalia; Rodentia; Sciuridae.
GGGACGCUGGCUUCCUGAGCCACAGGGCUGCGCCCUCCACCGGGCCGGACUUGGGAGGUGGGCCCUCUGCCUCAGUUCAGACCUCGGUUUCUUAUCUGUGAUGUGAAGGUCUGGGGUGGGGUCAGAGGGUCAAGGAUGCCUCUGAAACGUGAUCUGAAGACGUGGACUCAUUUCCAGGAAAAGCCAGCGCAGUGCGUGUGCACACGUGUGUGACUGUGAACACGCCGUGCCAUGAACGUGUGCACACAGUGUGCAGAGCUGUGCACACGCUGUGGGCUCGGGGGAGUGCGUCCAUGGACACCAGGAGCAAAGCAGUCCAAGCCUUUACGUUGGGGGCUUCUUGAGCCGUGGGCGCACCCCACCAGCAGCGGGUGGACUCCACCAGCACCUUUUCAAAGAGGAAGGAAGGGAGUGGAGGGAGCAGACUUCUGGAGUAGGCUAACGAGAGGAAUGACAAAGGGACAAGCAAGGACGGUGCCUUAACAGGAAAGGAAAGGACUUUCCUGUUCAUUUGUUUCCUGCCCCGGCCGUGGGCGAGCCUCCCCAGCCAGCUCUGGUGACAAGGGCAGCGUCUGUGGCCAACAGGCUGCCUUCUCGGGGCCUCCGGGAGGAGUCCGACAGGCAGCCUGGCUCUGUGUGUCACCGACUCUGCGACCAUGACCCUGGUGAGCUCCCGGGACACCGAGGUCCACUGUGCGUCCUGCAGCUGCGUGUGUGGUGCUGAGGUGCCCAGCCUGGACAGUCCCUCUCUCACGCGCUCCUGCUUCCAGAGCAGCAGGGUUAGCGGGGGCGCCCCACCUCUUUGGUAAUUGUGCUAAUUAGCGCACUGCUCUGUGCCCCUGUGGGAGGCUUGGCUUGCCAGGGACUCUGCAGGGCAAGGCUCCCGGCCACUGCCGGGUCAGAGGACUUGGCGCCGAGUGGAGGGGGUGUGUGUGCCAGCCGGCCUUGGCACGCCGUGGCGUCUCUCCAUACUUGCCAAGAAGUGGAGAACCGUCCAGAUCAGUUGCUUGGGCUCUUUUGGGAUUCAGAAAAGGAAAAAUAAUGGUUCUCUCUCUCUCCCCUGAGCUGACUGUAUGCAAUAUUUUCUUCUGACUUAUUUGUCUAUUUUUGCUCUAAAAUCACAAUGUUUUAGUGAUUCUACAUCUAUGGUAUGUUCUCACAAGUUCUCCCCUCACUAUUGUCUUCUAGAACAAUCAUACUUUCUCACUGUGAACUAUAUAGUAGAUGCAGACCAGCGUAACAACACCUGUGUCCCUGAGCUAUGUCUGGCCUCUGUGGGCCAGGGCAGAGGGCCGUGUCCAGGGCCUCGGA